CACUCCUGCGGGAGGCAGCAGUGGGGAAUAUUGGACAAUGGGCGCAAGCCUGAUCCAGCCAUGCCGCGUGAGUGAUGAAGGCCCUAGGGUUGUAAAGCUCUUUCACCGGUGAAGAUAAUGACGGUAACCGGAGAAGAAGCCCCGGCUAACUUCGUGCCAGCAGCCGCGGUAAUACGAAGGGGGCUAGCGUUGUUCGGAUUUACUGGGCGUAAAGCGCACGUAGGCGGACUAUUAAGUCAGGGGUGAAAUCCCGGGGCUCAACCCCGGAACUGCCUUUGAUACUGGUAGUCUUGAGUUCGAGAGAGGUGAGUGGAAUUCCGAGUGUAGAGGUGAAAUUCGUAGAUAUUCGGAGGAACACCAGUGGCGAAGGCGGCUCACUGGCUCGAUACUGACGCUGAGGUGCGAAAGCGUGGGGAGCAAACAGGAUUAGAUACCCCAGUAGUCCCAUGAU
This 451-nucleotide ribosomal RNA is filed under the name uncultured organism. RNAcentral's name for it is "partial 16S ribosomal RNA". It matches the Rfam family "Bacterial small subunit ribosomal RNA", at positions 334 to 801 of the family's 1533-position model. The record is from RNAcentral.